UAUUGCACAAUGGGCGGAAGCCUGAUGCAGCGACGCCGCGUGAGGGAUGACGGCCUUCGGGUUGUAAACCCCUUUCAGUCGGGACGAAGCUUCGCCGGUGAAUAGCCGGCUGGAGUGACGGUACCUUCACAAGAAGCCCCGGCUAACUACGUGCCAGCAGCCGCGGUAAUACGUAGGGUGCGAGCGUUGUCCGGAAUUAUUGGGCGUAAAGAGCUCGUAGGCGGUUUGUCGCGUCGGCCGUGAAAACUUGGGGCUUAACUCCAAGCUUGCGGUCGAUACGGGCAGACUUGAGUUCGGCAGGGGAGACUGGAAUUCCUGGUGUAGCGGUGAAAUGCGCAGAUAUCAGGAGGAACACCGGUGGCGAAGGCGGGUCUCUGGGCCGAUACUGACGCUGAGGAGCGAAAGCGUGGGGAGCGAAC
RNAcentral lists this ribosomal RNA (419 nucleotides) under uncultured bacterium. RNAcentral describes it as "bacterial SSU rRNA". It matches the Rfam family "Bacterial small subunit ribosomal RNA", at positions 362 to 773 of the family's 1533-position model. The record is from RNAcentral.